Small RNA from Oceanobacillus picturae, 67 nucleotides. It matches the Rfam family "Bacillaceae-1 RNA". NCBI's taxonomy places the organism in Bacteria, Bacillati, Bacillota, Bacilli, Caryophanales, Bacillaceae. The record is from Rfam.
UAUUAAGGAAGGCCGACUAAGAACGCCACGUCCUGUGGCAACGUCGGCAUGACCCGGAUCCUCCGGG